Molecule: ribosomal RNA, 486 nt
Filed under: uncultured bacterium
Lineage: Bacteria
Description: bacterial SSU rRNA
Rfam family: Bacterial small subunit ribosomal RNA
Source: RNAcentral
CAGUAGUCACGAGUUUGAUCCUGGCUCAGAUUGAACGGCUGGGCGGAAUGCUUUACACAUGCAAGUCGAACGGUAGAGGGGGCAACCCUUGAGAGUGGCGAACGGGUGAGUAAUAUAUCGGAACGUGCCCAGUCGUGGGGGAUAACGUAGCGAAAGCUACGCUAAUACCGCAUACGAUCUAUGGAUGAAAGCGGGGGAUCGCAAGACCUCGCGCGAUUGGAGCGGCCGAUAUUAGAUUAGGUAGUUGGUGAGGUAAAGGCUCACCAAGCCGACGAUCCUUAGCUGGUCUGAGAGGAUGAUCAGCCACACUGGGACUGAGACACGGCCCAGACUCCUACGGGAGGCAGCAGUGGGGGAAUAUUGGACAAUGGGCGAAAGCCUGAUCCAGCAAUGCCGCGUGAGUGAUGAAGGCCUUCGGGUUGUAAAGCUCUUUUACUCGGGACGAUAAUGACGGUACCGAGAGAAUAAGCCCCGGCUAACUCCGUG